Molecule: ribosomal RNA, 440 nt
Filed under: uncultured bacterium
Lineage: Bacteria
Description: partial 16S ribosomal RNA
Rfam family: Bacterial small subunit ribosomal RNA
Source: RNAcentral
CCUACGGGAGGCAGCAGUAGGGAAUUUUGCGCAAUGGGGGAAACCCUGACGCAGCAACACCGCGUGAGUGUUAAGCCCUUCGGGGUGUAAAGUUCUGUCAAUAGGGACGAAUUUUGACUGUACCUAUACAGGAAGCCCCGGCCAACCCAGUGCCAGCAGCCGCGGGAAUACGGGGGGGGCAGGCGUUGUCCGGAAGCAGUGGGCGUAAAGCGUGCGUAGGCGGUAUGUGAAGUCAGAUGUGAAAGCCCGGGGCUCAACUCCGGUUCUGCAUUGGAGACUGGAUAGCUGGAGUGGGGUAGAGGUAAAGGGAAUUCCUGGUGUAGCGGUGAAAUGCGUAGAUAUCAGGAGGAACACCGGUGGCGAAGGCGGUUUACUGGACCAUUAUUGACGCUGAGGAACGAAAGCGAGGGGAGCGAACAGGAUUAGAUACCCGUGUAGUC